GGACCAGAAAGGCAGUUAAUACAUAUUUAAAUAAAGUUCCUGAUUAAAUAAGAUAACACUCACAGCCUUUUUAAUGGCUUUCAAUUGCUGCUGCUCCCAAACUCUGGAACUAUCUCCCACAGAAGCCCAGGCUGGCCCUUUCUUUGCUGUCCUUCUACAGCAGGCAAUGACCUUUCUCUUCAGAACAGCUCAUCACCACAGGAAGCCAAGAGUGACACAGAUACCUAAAUUGCAGCCAGAUUACUUUUCCUCAUUCCCUCAGUAACAACCAUAGAAGUCAGAAUACUACAAUGAAAAGAGAGCAGGAACUGUCUUAGUGGAAAAGGAGUAGUUAGGAUACAUUUCAUACAUUCCUUUCGAUCCACCAUCCAACUCAAUUAAACUGGUCUACUCUUCUUCAAGCAUAACAUUGCCAGCCAUAUAAAUUGU
Pogona vitticeps (central bearded dragon) is the source of this 429-nucleotide non-coding RNA. Lineage: Eukaryota; Metazoa; Chordata; Lepidosauria; Squamata; Agamidae. The record is from RefSeq and is a predicted model, not a curated record.